AGUGAACGCUGGCGGUAGGCCUAACACAUGCAAGUCGAACGGCAGCACAGUAAGAGCUUGCUCUUACGGGUGGCGAGUGGCGGACGGGUGAGGAAUACAUCGGAAUCUACUUUUUCGUGGGGGAUAACGUAGGGAAACUUACGCUAAUACCGCAUACGACCUACGGGUGAAAUCAAGGGAUCUUCGGACCUUGCGCGAUUGAAUGAGCCGAUGUCGGAUUAGCUAGUUGGCUGGGUAAAGGCCCACCAAGGCGACGAUCCGUAGCUGGCCUGAGAGGAUGAUCAGCCACACUGGAACUGAGACACGGUCCAGACUCCUACGGGAGGCAGCAGUGGGGAAUAUUGGACAAUGGGCGCAAGCCUGAUCCAGCCAUACCGCGUGGGUGAAGAAGGCCUUCGGGUUGUAAAGCCCUUUUGUUGGGAAAGAAAAGCAGCAGGUUAAUACCCCGCUGUUCUGACGGUACCCAAAGAAUAAGCACCGGCUAACUUCGUG
Molecule: ribosomal RNA, 492 nt
Filed under: uncultured bacterium
Lineage: Bacteria
Description: partial 16S ribosomal RNA
Rfam family: Bacterial small subunit ribosomal RNA
Source: RNAcentral